Molecule: ribosomal RNA, 497 nt
Filed under: uncultured bacterium
Lineage: Bacteria
Description: partial 16S ribosomal RNA
Rfam family: Bacterial small subunit ribosomal RNA
Source: RNAcentral
GAUGAACGCUGGCGGCGUGCCUAAUACAUGCCAGUCGAGCGAACGGACGAGAAGCUUGCUUCUCUGAUGUUAGCGGCGGACGGGUGAGUAACACGUGGAUAACCUACCUAUAAGACUGGGAUAACUUCGGGAAACCGGAGCUAAUACCGGAUAAUAUUUUGAACCGCAUGGUUCAAAAGUGAAAGACGGUCUUGCUGUCACUUAUAGAUGGAUCCGCGCUGCAUUAGCUAGUUGGUAAGUUAACGGCUUACCAAGGCAACGAUGCAUAGCCGACCUGAGAGGGUGAUCGGCCACACUGGAACUGAGACACGGUCCAGACUCCUACGGGAGGCAGCAGUAGGGAAUCUUCCGCAAUGGGCGAAAGCCUGACGGAGCAACGCCGCGUGAGUGAUGAAGGUCUUCGGAUCGUAAAACUCUGUUAUUAGGGAAGAACAUAUGUGUAAGUAACUGUGCACAUCUUGACGGUACCUAAUCAGAAAGCCACGGCUAACUACGUG